This 529-nucleotide ribosomal RNA is filed under the name uncultured bacterium. RNAcentral's name for it is "partial 16S ribosomal RNA". It matches the Rfam family "Bacterial small subunit ribosomal RNA", at positions 355 to 900 of the family's 1533-position model. The record is from RNAcentral.
UGGGGAAUAUUGCACAAUGGGCGAAAGCCUGAUGCAGCAACGCCGCGUGAGUGAUGAAGGUCUUCGGAUUGUAAAGCUCUGUCUUUUGGGACGAUAAUGACGGUACCAAAGGAGGAAGCCACGGCUAACUACGUGCCAGCAGCCGCGGUAAUACGUAGGUGGCGAGCGUUGUCCGGAUUUACUGGGCGUAAAGGGUGCGUAGGCGGAUGUUUAAGUGAGAUGUGAAAUACCCGGGCUUAACUUGGGUGCUGCAUUUCAAACUGGAUAUCUAGAGUGCAGGAGAGGAGAAUGGAAUUCCUAGUGUAGCAGUGAAAUGCGUAGAGAUUAGGAAGAACACCAGUGGCGAAGGCGAUUCUCUGGACUGUAACUGACGCUGAGGCACGAAAGCGUGGGUAGCAAACAGGAUUAGAUACCCUGGUAGUCCACGCCGUAAACGAUGAGUACUAGGUGUAGGAGGUAUCGACCCCUUCUGUGCCGCAGUAAACACAUUAAGUACUCCGCCUGGGAAGUACGAUCGCAAGAUUAAAAC